AUUGAACGCUGGCGGCAUGCCUUACACAUGCAAGUCGAACGGUAACGGGCCUUCGGGUGCCGACGAGUGGCGAACGGGUGAGUAAUACAUCGGAACGUGCCCGAUCGUGGGGGAUAACGAGGCGAAAGCUUUGCUAAUACCGCAUACGAUCUACGGAUGAAAGCAGGGGACCGCAAGGCCUUGCGCGGACGGAGCGGCCGAUGGCAGAUUAGGUAGUUGGUGGGAUAAAAGCUUACCAAGCCGACGAUCUGUAGCUGGUCUGAGAGGAUGAUCAGCCACACUGGGACUGAGACACGGCCCAGACUCCUACGGGAGGCAGCAGUGAGGAAUUUUGGACAAUGGGCGCAAGCCUCAUCCAGCCAUGCCGCGUGCAGGAUGAAGGCCUUCGGGUUGUAAACUGCUUUUGUACGGAACGAAAAGCCUUCUUUUAAUACAGGAGGGUCAUGACGGUACCGUAAGAAUAAGCACCGGCUAACUACGUG
RNAcentral lists this ribosomal RNA (482 nucleotides) under uncultured bacterium. RNAcentral's name for it is "partial 16S ribosomal RNA". It matches the Rfam family "Bacterial small subunit ribosomal RNA", at positions 30 to 507 of the family's 1533-position model. The record is from RNAcentral.